Molecule: ribosomal RNA, 888 nt
Filed under: uncultured bacterium
Lineage: Bacteria
Description: bacterial SSU rRNA
Rfam family: Bacterial small subunit ribosomal RNA
Source: RNAcentral
UGCGCAGCUUACCAUGCGAGUCGAACGAUGACUCUCUAGCUUGCUAGAGAUGAUUAGUGGCGGACGGGUGAGUAACAUUUAGGAAUCUGCCUAGUAGUGGGGGAUAGCUCGGGGAAACUCGAAUUAAUACCGCAUACGACCUACGGGUGAAAGGGGGCGCAAGCUCUUGCUAUUAGAUGAGCCUAAAUCAGAUUAGCUAGUUGGUGGGGUAAAGGCCCACCAAGGCGACGAUCUGUAACUGGUCUGAGAGGAUGAUCAGUCACACCGGAACUGAGACACGGUCCGGACUCCUACGGGAGGCAGCAGUGGGGAAUAUUGGACAAUGGGGGCAACCCUGAUCCAGCCAUGCCGCGUGUGUGAAGAAGGCCUUUUGGUUGUAAAGCACUUUAAGCAGGGAGGAGAGGCUAAUGGUUAAUACCCAUUAGAUUAGACGUUACCUGCAGAAUAAGCACCGGCUAACUCUGUGCCAGCAGCCGCGGUAAUACAGAGGGUGCGAGCGUUAAUCGGAAUUACUGGGCGUAAAGCGAGUGUAGGUGGCUCAUUAAGUCACAUGUGAAAUCCCCGGGCUUAACCUGGGAACUGCAUGUGAUACUGGUGGUGCUAGAAUAUGUGAGAGGGAAGUAGAAUUCCAGGUGUAGCGGUGAAAUGCGUAGAGAUCUGGAGGAAUACCGAUGGCGAAGGCAGCUUCCUGGCAUAAUACUGACACUGAGAUUCGAAAGCGUGGGUAGCAAACAGGAUUAGAUACCCUGGUAGUCCACGCCGUAAACGAUGUCUACUAGCCGUUGGGGUCCUUGAGACUUUAGUGGCGCAGUUAACGCGAUAAGUAGACCGCCUGGGGAGUACGGCCGCAAGGUUAAAACUCAAAUGAAUUGACGGGGGCCCGCACAA